AGCAGUAAAUGUGGAGCCGUAGCGAAAGCGAGUCUGAAUAGGGCGUUUAGUAUUUGGUCGUAGACCCGAAACCAGGUGAUCUACCCUUGGUCAGGUUGAAGUUCAGGUAACACUGAAUGGAGGACCGAACCGACUUACGUUGAAAAGUGAGCGGAUGAACUGAGGGUAGCGGAGAAAUUCCAAUCGAACCUGGAGAUAGCUGGUUCUCUCCGAAAUAGCUUUAGGGCUAGCCUCAAGUGAUGAUUAUUGGAGGUAGAGCACUGUUUGGACGAGGGGCCCCUCUCGGGUUACCGAAUUCAGACAAACUCCGAAUGCCAAUUAAUUUAACUUGGGAGUCAGAACAUGGGUGAUAAGGUCCGUG
RNAcentral lists this ribosomal RNA (361 nucleotides) under Staphylococcus aureus. RNAcentral's name for it is "partial 23S ribosomal RNA". It matches the Rfam family "Bacterial large subunit ribosomal RNA", at positions 649 to 1009 of the family's 2925-position model. The record is from RNAcentral. Lineage: Bacteria; Bacillati; Bacillota; Bacilli; Caryophanales; Staphylococcaceae.